This 253-nucleotide ribosomal RNA is filed under the name uncultured bacterium. RNAcentral's name for it is "partial 16S ribosomal RNA". It matches the Rfam family "Bacterial small subunit ribosomal RNA", at positions 524 to 776 of the family's 1533-position model. The record is from RNAcentral.
UACGAAGGGGGCUAGCGUUGCUCGGAAUCACUGGGCGUAAAGGGUGCGUAGGCGGGUCUUUAAGUCAGGGGCGAAAUCCUGGAGCUCAACUCCAGAACUGCCUUUGAUACUGAGGAUCUUGAGUUCGGGAGAGGUGAGUGGAACUGCGAGUGUAGAGGUGAAAUUCGUAGAUAUUGGGAAGAACACCGGUGGCGAAGGCGGCUCUCUGGACCACAACUGACGCUGAGGCGCGAAAGCGUGGGGAGCAAACAGG